GACGAACGCUGGCGGCGUGCCUAAUACAUGCAAGUUGAGCGCUGAAGGUUGGUACUUGUACCAACUGGAUGAGCAGCGAACGGGUGAGUAACGCGUGGGGAAUCUGCCUUUGAGCGGGGUACAACAUUUGGAAACGAAUGCUAAUACCGCAUAAAAACUUUAAACACAAGUUUUAAGUUUGAAAGAUGCAAUUGCAUCACUCAAAGAUGAUCCCUCGUUGUAUUAGCUAGUUGGUGAGGUAAAGGCUCACCAAGGCGGUGAUACAUAGCCGACCUGAGAGGGUGAGCGGCCACAUUGGGAGUGAGACAGGGCCCAAACGGAUACAGGAGGCGGCAGGAGGGAUUCGUGGGGAAGGGGCGAAGGUCAGAGCGAGAAACGUCGAGGGAGUGAAGAAGGAUGUCGGGUGGUAGAACACGGUUGGUAGGGAAGAACGUGGGUGAGAGUGGAAAGCUCAUCAAGUGACGGUAACUACCCAGAAAGGGACGGCUAACUACGUG
Molecule: ribosomal RNA, 497 nt
Filed under: uncultured bacterium
Lineage: Bacteria
Description: partial 16S ribosomal RNA
Rfam family: Bacterial small subunit ribosomal RNA
Source: RNAcentral